Molecule: unclassified non-coding RNA, 349 nt
Filed under: Mycobacterium avium
Lineage: Bacteria; Bacillati; Actinomycetota; Actinomycetes; Mycobacteriales; Mycobacteriaceae
Description: partial contains 16S-23S intergenic spacer and 23S ribosomal RNA
Source: RNAcentral
AAGGAGCACCACGAAAAGCACUCCAAUUGGUGGGGUGCGAGCCGUGAGGGGUUCUCGUCUGUAGUGGACGAAAACCGGGUGCACAGCAGCAAAUGAUUGCCAGACACACUAUUGGGCCCUGAGACAACACUCGGUCGAUCCGUGUGGAGUCCCUCCAUCUUGGUGGUGGGGUGUGGUGUUUGAGUAUUGGAUAGUGGUUGCGAGCAUCUAGAUGAACGCGUAGUCCUUCGGGGCCGGCGUGUUCAUCGAAAUGUGUAAUUUCUUUGAUUAACUCUUGUGUGUAAGUAAGUGUUUAAGGGCGCAUGGUGGAUGCCUUGGCAUCGAGAGCCGAUGAAGGACGUGGGAGGCU